GCGGCGCCGCGGGAAACCCAGCCUCCGGCGGCGCUCACGCCGCCCCUCCGCCGGGAACAAACGCCUUCCAAUCGAAAGACCGUCUCCCGGGUACCCCUAAAGUAAUUGCAAUAAAAGCAAGGAGAAAAAGCCAGAUGGAAGAAUUGUUUUAAAACAAGUAACCCACCAGUGGAUGAGAAGACACUACAACUUCAGUUAAUUCUAGCAACCAAAUAUAAGGUAUGGGAUUCAUCUACCAACGUUAUUUUUAUUUCUUAAAAAAAAAAUCCUAAAAUUUCAGUCAGUAAGAGUUAAUUUAAAAUGUUAUUGCUUUUAUUUGAGAAAAACCUAGGCAAAUAUUUCCAAUGACUUUUUUUUCAAGUUUUGGGUGUUUUGGUUUUGUGGCUCUUGUUCCUUUUCCUCAGUAUAAUAAUAUACAUUUGGGGAGUUCCCUUCGUGGCUCAGCGGUUAAUUAACCUGACUAGGAUCCAUAAGGAUGCGAGUUCUGUCCCUGCCCUUGCUCAGUGGGUUAAGGAUCGGGCGUUGCCCUGAGCUGCAGUUUAGGCUGCCCACUUGGCUUGGAUCCUGCGUCACUGCCAGCACCUGUAGCUCCUAUUUGACCCCUAUCCUGGGAGCUACCAUAUGCCACAGGUGCUGCCCUAAAAUAGCAAAUAUAUAUAAAUAUAUAUAUAUUUGAGGGGGAAAAUCCAAUAAAAAUGGAUAUUUUAAUCAGAUCACCAAAAUCCUUGAGCGAGCAUUUUAAUUCUUCUUCACAGAUAAUUUCUAAGAUAGUACUGUUUCUCUUCUAUAUUCCUAAGCCAAAAGUACUGUUGGUUAUUCAACUUUUUCUAAUAAUAGUUUAAAUAUAUAAGAAAUGAUCCCAUCAGGAAAUGAAUAUGAAAAAGAAAAGAAAUAUCCUUUAUCAUUAAAAUUUUCACAAGUGUAGUUUUUAGAGGUAGAUGGAAAAGCAAUAGUGGAGGACCAAAACGUGGAAUGGAAAAACUCUAGAUUUAAGGCAAGAAUAAUCAUUGUAGAAUGCAAAUCAGUUGUACCACUCUCUUGCCUAAAUUCUGUCAAUGGCUUCCCACAAGCUACAGUGAAAAGGCCAAAGCUCUUAGCAUAGUCCUGUCAUUUUCACUGGGGAGCUAUUCUGCUGCCCUAGAAGGCAUUCGGGAAUUAGUAAUGUAUCAGCGUUUACUGCUAUCUAAUACAUUAUUUAUUCCCUAACUCAGCAGCUUAAAACAACAUGUUUAUUACCUCACAAGAGCCUUUGUGGAUCAGGAAUCAGGAUGUUCUGGGUAGUUCUGGCUCUGAGGAAGUGGUCGCCAGUUGGACUCUUGGUCAGAACUCUGAUCAUCUCACUGGCAGGGCAGUCUGGUUCACGUGCAGUCACAGGAGGCUUCAUUUCCUGGGGCUGUUUAGAGGAUAUGGCAGCUGGCUUUUCCCUGAGCAAGAUGAGUGGGUGAGUGACGUGCGUGUGUGUGUGUAUGUGUGUGUGUGUGUGUGUGUGUGAAGCCAAGAUAAUACUCCAUAAUCUUUUAUAACCUAAUCUCCUCUUGCAAGGACAACUUAUCACUUGCACCUCAUGCUCCUGAGCAUAGACAGUGGUGAGCGUAGGAAGAAUUUGGAUGAUUGGAGACCCUCCUGGAGACUGGCUAGCUGCCGAAAGUAAAAACACUUGUGGUUUGUCAUAAUGACUAGAGAUUCCCAUUAACACAGACAAAAACCAAGGGUAUUAAAAUCUUGUUCAAGAAGGAAUCCAUCAGGAAGCUGCCAGCAGUGCUGCCGAAUAGCUCUCCUGCGCUACGGUCUCUGUAGACACACUCCUGGCUCCAUUACACGUGGCUUCUUAAAGUUCCCUGUAAAAUCCUCUGCCUUCGACGUCCACAAAUCUUCCUUCUGACUUCAGUGCCUCUUCACCUUAGCAACCUUUCCAACUCCCUUUUUGGGAGUUAGUACAAAUUCCUUCAUCUGCUGGAUGCGUUCCCUGUUACGUUAAGCCAAUGAGCCCUUGCUUUUCUCAGCCCUAUUUUCAUUCUUGUGAUGGCACACUCAUGACACUGCUGUUAUUACCUCUAACAGCCCUUCUCCCCCAGGAGACUGUGAGCCCCUGCAGGAAUACGUUUUAUAAUCUAAAUCUCAGGGUCCCCAAACCUUACACAGCUCCCGCACAUAGGAAACACUUCUUAAUACAAGUUAGUUGAAUGACUGAGCAAAUGCAUGGUGUGUUGUCUGUGUUUGCGUACAUGUGUGCGCAAGGAUGGUGCCAGUUAAGAGAGAACUGCAGAAUGCAAAAGCUUGAGAACCACUGAUCUGCUCUGUUCCCACCCAGACUCUGUGCCACCUGUUUCCUACUAAAGUGUAAAUUCGCCUUCACAUCGCACAAACUGCUUUUUAAAUUAACAUUUUAUAUCUUCCCCAAAAGGAUAAUUGAAAGUUAUAUUUGUAGAGAGCAUGUCUAUAGGUUGUAGAGGGCACUACCUGAUUAUUACUUGUAUUUUUCAGAAAAUACCCAUGUUAAAGUGUUUUAAGAUCCUAUAUCUAAAUCAAGAAAGAAUAAUCCUGCUUCAGUGCCUUGAAUGAUGUUCAACUGUUGAGCUCAAAGAGUUAACACAAAUUCCAAAAGUGCUGUGUUACAGCCAAUGGCAUUUUGUAAGUUGAAUCUGUAGUAAUAGGAUAAAAAGUUACUAUCUAAAAGAGUUAUUACAGGCACCAAAUGGGCUAAAUUAUGGAGAGGAGUAAUCUGAGCAAUGAAGAUGAAGCUUAAAUCUGUAAGAGCUGAUGCAAUUUCCAAAGGCAUUAACCUAAGGAGCAGUUUAUUAAUUGAGCACCUAGGCUAUUUAGGAAUAAUGUAGUGGCCUCCUAAGGAUUGGAGUUUUGCUGCUGCUGUUAAAUUCCAAAAUUUUCCAUUUUUGUCAGUUUCUAUUUAUGAAAGAUUCAGCCUGCCCGUCAUGACUGUGCCCUGCCUAACUGAAAGCUGAACCUUUCAGUUGUUGAGUGACUUCCUGGAUCUGCACCUGCUCCAGAACUCCUCUGAUACUGCCUAGGGAUAGGAGUAGUUCAAUAUACACUCAUUUAUUCAAGUAGCCUGUUUAGCAAAAAGCUAUUGAGUAUCAACUAUAUGCCAGGCAUAUAUGGAUACGGAGGCCAAGAAGACAGACAUUUUUUGCUAGAUUGUGUGGUGUUUACAUUCUGGUGGGCAGGUGUGAAAAAUAAUAACCAACACACCAUAAUGCAACAAAUAUUAUUUGAGAUAAGGAUGUGGGAUAUGAUAAAAUAUAUAUAUAUACAAAGUAGAGGGCCAGGGAGUGAAUUGCCUUAGGAGUGUUAUUUAAAUGAAGACCUGACCUACAGGAGGGAAUUGCCAGUGUAAAUAUUUAGGGAAGACAACUUUAGAUGGAGGGACAGAAGGAAUGUCCCUGCAAGGUCUCUGUGACUAGAACAAGCUUGGCAUACGUGGGAGUGAGAAAGUUAGCAUAUGAUGUGGGAACCUGUUAAAAGGUUGAGAGAUGCUGUAUAAAAGAUCAAAGGACCUUGUAGGCCAUAGAAAGGAAUUUAGAUGUGGACUCUCAAUGCAGUUGAGAGCUAUUGCAUGGAUUUCAAAAUUCCAAAGUGUCUCUGAUGUUUUGGGGUUUUGAGCCUCCUCUUCUGGUCCUUACCAUAACCAUUAGCCCCUGAAUCUGACAUUGACAAUAAAAGGCCUUCACAGAGGUGGCUUAGAAUUUGCUAAUGGCAGAUGGGCUUUUAUCUAUGAUGUUUGUAUUUUACUGAACUUCAGUAUUGACUCUCACCUUGACUCACGUUCAGGAAGCCCUCUCUCCUAGACUCUAUAUUCCAAUUUUACCUCUUGCAUCAACAGACACUUAAUUCUUCAGUCAUUCCCAUCCUUGGCUAAUUCCCUUGUCAGAUCUAUAUCAGAGAGCUAUGAAGAAAUUUCACCCCUCUCCCCUUCCAAAAAAAAAAAACAACCCAAAUUUCCACAUCUCAAACCCCAUUCCGGACUUCAUAUGACACAAGAAAAGUUGAGUGAAUUAGUAAUUAGUACACCCCCCUAAAAGAAUAUAUAAUUUUAACAUUGCCGAAUAAUCCCAAAUACCUGUAUCAAUUCACUGUCAUAACUGAUAACCAUUUCCCAAACUGCAGUAUGCUCAAUGCCUAUUCUAGACCCAAGAUAUCCAGUCUGUUUAGCAAAAGUCUUAUCCUAUGAACGUUAGAAAAAUGAUCAAUCAUUUUAGAUGCAUCCCUUACUCUUUUCCUCACAAAACAUCCUCCUCACACUAUCAAGACCGUGUUUUUUCCGUGUAAGUUCUCUGUGACGGGAAAACAUUAGAAACAAGUAAGAGUCCCCUUGUACAAACAAGUGCAGAAGAGGCAGAAGCUCAAUUAAGUAGAUGCCUCCUUUAUAAUUUAUCAUUUGUUUUCCUGGGAUCAGAUGCUUUAGGAAGUGAACUAAGUCUUUGCUUUUGUCUUUGAGCAGCCCUGUUUUGACUGACACUUAGACUACAAUCAAUCUUUGAAUUAAAAUUUUAGCUUAAAAAACAUGCAGCCUUAAAUUUACAGAACAUUGCAAAUCAACUAUAAUUUUAAAAAAUUAAAAAUAAAUAAAUAAAAAACACACAGCCUUAGACGUGAGCAUUCAUUUUCAGGGUUAGAUAACCAAUAAUAGGAAAGUGGCAGACCUCUGUCCAGAUACUUCUUUGUUCCUUGCCACCUGUGCAAGGAACACCCAUCGAUUGUGACAAAACCGCAUGUAGGAGUACUUAGGAGACUCUCUACAGAGUUCCCACUGUGGCUCAGUGGGGCAAGGAUGCAAUGUAUUCUCCAUGAGGAUGCGGUUCGAUCCCUAGCCUCCCUCAGUGGGUUAAGAAUCCCACAUUGCAUCAGUCUCAGAUGCAGCUCAGAUCUGGUGUUGCCAUGGCUGUGGCAUAGGCCAGCAGCUGCAGGUCUGAUUCAACCCUUAGCCCAAGAACAUCCAUGUGCCACAGGUGCGGCCG
This 4973-nucleotide long non-coding RNA is filed under the name Sus scrofa (pig). RNAcentral's name for it is "lncRNA (ENSSSCG00040069386.1)". Lineage: Eukaryota; Metazoa; Chordata; Mammalia; Artiodactyla; Suidae. The record is from RNAcentral.